Molecule: ribosomal RNA, 2609 nt
Filed under: Escherichia coli
Lineage: Bacteria; Pseudomonadati; Pseudomonadota; Gammaproteobacteria; Enterobacterales; Enterobacteriaceae
Description: 23S ribosomal RNA
Rfam family: Bacterial large subunit ribosomal RNA
Source: RNAcentral
CCCAGUAGCGGCGAGCGAACGGGGAGGAGCCCAGAGCCUGAAUCAGUGUGUGUGUUAGUGGAAGCGUCUGGAAAGGCGCGCGAUACAGGGUGACAGCCCCGUACACAAAAAUGCACAUACUGUGAGCUCGAUGAGUAGGGCGGGACACGUGGUAUCCUGUCUGAAUAUGGGGGGACCAUCCUCCAAGGCUAAAUACUCCUGACUGACCGAUAGUGAACCAGUACCGUGAGGGAAAGGCGAAAAGAACCCCGGCGAGGGGAGUGAAAAAGAACCUGAAACCGUGUACGUACAAGCAGUGGGAGCCUCUUAAUGGGGUGACUGCGUACCUUUUGUAUAAUGGGUCAGCGACUUAUAUUCUGUAGCAAGGUUAACCGAAUAGGGGAGCCGAAGGGAAACCGAGUCUUAACUGGGCGUUAAGUUGCAGGGUAUAGACCCGAAACCCGGUGAUCUAGCCAUGGGCAGGUUGAAGGUUGGGUAACACUAACUGGAGGACCGAACCGACUAAUGUUGAAAAAUUAGCGGAUGACUUGUGGCUGGGGGUGAAAGGCCAAUCAAACCGGGAGAUAGCUGGUUCUCCCCGAAAGCUAUUUAGGUAGCGCCUCGUGAAUUCAUCUCCGGGGGUAGAGCACUGUUUCGGCAAGGGGGUCAUCCCGACUUACCAACCCGAUGCAAACUGCGAAUACCGGAGAAUGUUAUCACGGGAGACACACGGCGGGUGCUAACGUCCGUCGUGAAGAGGGAAACAACCCAGACCGCCAGCUAAGGUCCCAAAGUCAUGGUUAAGUGGGAAACGAUGUGGGAAGGCCCAGACAGCCAGGAUGUUGGCUUAGAAGCAGCCAUCAUUUAAAGAAAGCGUAAUAGCUCACUGGUCGAGUCGGCCUGCGCGGAAGAUGUAACGGGGCUAAACCAUGCACCGAAGCUGCGGCAGCGACACUAUGUGUUGUUGGGUAGGGGAGCGUUCUGUAAGCCUGUGAAGGUGUACUGUGAGGUAUGCUGGAGGUAUCAGAAGUGCGAAUGCUGACAUAAGUAACGAUAAAGCGGGUGAAAAGCCCGCUCGCCGGAAGACCAAGGGUUCCUGUCCAACGUUAAUCGGGGCAGGGUGAGUCGACCCCUAAGGCGAGGCCGAAAGGCGUAGUCGAUGGGAAACAGGUUAAUAUUCCUGUACUUGGUGUUACUGCGAAGGGGGGACGGAGAAGGCUAUGUUGGCCGGGCGACGGUUGUCCCGGUUUAAGCGUGUAGGCUGGUUUUCCAGGCAAAUCCGGAAAAUCAAGGCUGAGGCGUGAUGACGAGGCACUACGGUGCUGAAGCGACAAAUGCCCUGCUUCCAGGAAAAGCCUCUAAGCAUCAGGUAACAUCAAAUCGUACCCCAAACCGACACAGGUGGUCAGGUAGAGAAUACCAAGGCGCUUGAGAGAACUCGGGUGAAGGAACUAGGCAAAAUGGUGCCGUAACUUCGGGAGAAGGCACGCUGAUAUGUAGGUGAAGCGACUUGCUCGUGGAGCUGAAAUCAGUCGAAGAUACCAGCUGGCUGCAACUGUUUAUUAAAAACACAGCACUGUGCAAACACGAAAGUGGACGUAUACGGUGUGACGCCUGCCCGGUGCCGGAAGGUUAAUUGAUGGGGUUAGCGGUAACGCGAAGCUCUUGAUCGAAGCCCCGGUAAACGGCGGCCGUAACUAUAACGGUCCUAAGGUAGCGAAAUUCCUUGUCGGGUAAGUUCCGACCUGCACGAAUGGCGUAAUGAUGGCCAGGCUGUCUCCACCCGAGACUCAGUGAAAUUGAACUCGCUGUGAAGAUGCAGUGUACCCGCGGCAAGACGGAAAGACCCCGUGAACCUUUACUAUAGCUUGACACUGAACAUUGAGCCUUGAUGUGUAGGAUAGGUGGGAGGCUUUGAAGUGUGGACGCCAGUCUGCAUGGAGCCGACCUUGAAAUACCACCCUUUAAUGUUUGAUGUUCUAACGUGGGCCCCUUACCGGGGUUGCGGACAGUGUCUGGUGGGUAGUUUGACUGGGGCGGUCUCCUCCUAAAGAGUAACGGAGGAGCACGAAGGUUGGCUAAUCCUGGUCGGACAUCAGGAGGUUAGUGCAAUGGCAUAAGCCAGCUUGACUGCGAGCGUGACGGCGCGAGCAGGUGCGAAAGCAGGUCAUAGUGAUCCGGUGGUUCUGAAUGGAAGGGCCAUCGCUCAACGGAUAAAAGGUACUCCGGGGAUAACAGGCUGAUACCGCCCAAGAGUUCAUAUCGACGGCGGUGUUUGGCACCUCGAUGUCGGCUCAUCACAUCCUGGGGCUGAAGUAGGUCCCAAGGGUAUGGCUGUUCGCCAUUUAAAGUGGUACGCGAGCUGGGUUUAGAACGUCGUGAGACAGUUCGGUCCCUAUCUGCCGUGGGCGCUGGAGAACUGAGGGGGGCUGCUCCUAGUACGAGAGGACCGGAGUGGACGCAUCACUGGUGUUCGGGUUGUCAUGCCAAUGGCACUGCCCGGUAGCUAAAUGCGGAAGAGAUAAGUGCUGAAAGCAUCUAAGCACGAAACUUGCCCCGAGAUGAGUUCUCCCUGACUCCUUGAGAGUCCUGAAGGAACGUUGAAGACGACGACGUUGAUAGGCCGGGUG